Molecule: non-coding RNA, 1028 nt
Organism: Danio rerio (zebrafish)
Lineage: Eukaryota; Metazoa; Chordata; Actinopteri; Cypriniformes; Danionidae
Source: RefSeq, a predicted model, not a curated record
ACUUUACCCAUGUUUAUAUGUUAAAUUGCACUUGUCUCUCUCUCUAUCUCUGUUAACACAUUUGUGUUUGUUUGAUUAAUUCUUGUGUCUUUCAGCCUGUUUCUGCCUAUCACCAUGAGUGAUUCCUUUAUACUCAGAUUUAUCAUCAAGAUCUCAAUUAUAAGCUUAAGUCUUGAUGACAAUUUGAUGAUCUGCAGGAGCACCACCAUGUAAGGAAGGCCAAGACCUCUCUGGAAUCAGUCAAGGGUGAAAUGGAGUGAGGCAUACAAGGAUAUGUGUGGUUUUAGUCUUGGGAAGGAGGUUGAACAGUGCAAUAUUUCUUCUAUAGGAUUGCAGUGACCAGACAUGCUAUUGUAACUCUCAUGGUCAUGUGCUGGAAUUAGCAGAUAUUCAACAAUUUGGCCAUCUCGCCGACCUAUUGAUAUCAGAAGACCGCAGCAGCUCUGCAAAGCAAGUUGCAAAACAGAAUCCAUGAAACUGGUAGUGACUGGAAACCAAUUGGAAGACUUUGGUCUGUGAUGUAGAGGAAUGGGCAGAGGCAGAAGCAAAGACAACAAACAACAAAAGUGAUAUGGAUGUCUUCGUCAUAUGGCAUGGUAUGUACACUAGACUUCUGUCAGUGUUGAUUCUUUAAAAGUUGACGUAUAAUCCUUGUUAUACAACUUUCUUUUUAUAAAUAUAUUUCAGACUCUGCUGACCCAGCAACAAAGAGGAGGGUGUUCAACAUCAUCCUGCUAGUCAGGAUUCUUCAGGAGAAGCAGAGGAUUCUUGUGGCAGAGAUGGCCAACCACUAUAAAUACCUUUCAACUCAUCCUGGUUCUUUCAAAGAACUUUCCUGCUUAUUUGCUUCUGAAAUGUACUGAUUCGACAUGUGGCCUAAACAAAGAGGGGUUAAAAGGUCUAUGGAUCAUCAUUCUCAGAAAGCAACAAAAUAACUGAGAAAUAAACAACAAUACGAUGGUGCAAUCUAGAGACCUGCAAGGUACCUGCAAGUUUUGGCUGGAGCAGAGAACAUACAUUUUUUUAAA